GGAUAGCUCAAUCAGUAAACUAUUAGACUCUUAAAUCUCAGGGUUGUGGGUUCGAGCCCCAGACUUGGCA
This is a non-coding RNA of Podarcis lilfordi (Lilford's wall lizard), 70 nucleotides long. NCBI's taxonomy places the organism in Eukaryota, Metazoa, Chordata, Lepidosauria, Squamata, Lacertidae. The record is from the annotation of a GenBank genome assembly.